Molecule: non-coding RNA, 309 nt
Organism: Onthophagus taurus
Lineage: Eukaryota; Metazoa; Arthropoda; Insecta; Coleoptera; Scarabaeidae
Source: RefSeq, a predicted model, not a curated record
CGUAACAAUGAAGACAUUCUUAUUUAGUUUUGUAUUAAUUUUGGGGGUUAUUGUUGUAAUCGGAGGAAGAACCAAUUUAAAGAAAAAUACGCUCCAUAAAAAAUCUGGUCUACAUUCAACGCGACAAUAUGGAUCACCAUUAAACGGGAGUUUAUUUUUUGCAUUAUUUUACCCCGAUGUUUAUGAAAUCGUAGAUGAAGUCGACUUGGAAAUUGGAUUAUACCCUAGGAAUAAUUUAACAAGACCUUUCAACAUUUCUUUACAUAAUUAAUAUUUCAAUUUAAAUUAAUAAAAAAAUGCUUUACUUAA